This 421-nucleotide unclassified non-coding RNA is filed under the name soil metagenome. RNAcentral's name for it is "partial contains 5.8S ribosomal RNA, internal transcribed spacer 2, and large subunit ribosomal RNA". The stretch from base 1 to 120 matches the Rfam family "5.8S ribosomal RNA", at positions 35 to 154 of the family's 154-position model. The record is from RNAcentral.
GAUGAAGAACGUAGCGAAAUGCGAUACGUAAUGUGAAUUGCAGAAUUCAGUGAAUCAUCGAAUCUUUGAACGCAUAUUGCGCUCUUUGUUAUUCCGAAGAGCAUGCUUGUUUGAGUAUCAGUAAACACCUCAACCUCUUCUUGAUUUUUCAAAAGGAGGGUGGACUUGAGCUAUCCCAACAACCUUUACCGGUCGGCGGGCGGCUUGAAAUGCAGGUGCAGCUGGACUUUUAUCUGAGCUAAAAGCAUAUCUAUUUAGUCCUCGUCAAACAGGAUUAUUACUUUUGCUGCAGCUAACAUAAAGGAUAAUUGUCCUCUUUGCUGACUGAUGCAGGAUUUUACGACACUUUAUGUGUUGUUCAACUCGAUCUCAAAUCAAGUAAGACUACCCGCUGAACUUAAGCAUAUCAAUAAGCGGAGGA